This 258-nucleotide ribosomal RNA is filed under the name unidentified marine bacterioplankton. RNAcentral describes it as "partial 16S ribosomal RNA". It matches the Rfam family "Bacterial small subunit ribosomal RNA", at positions 79 to 339 of the family's 1533-position model. The record is from RNAcentral.
CUUGCACCUGAUGGCGAGUGGCGAACGGGUGAGUAAUGCAUCGGAACGUGCCCAGUCGUGGGGGAUAACGCAGCGAAAGCCGUGCUAAUACCGCAUACGAUCCACGGAUGAAAGCGGGGAACCUUCGGGCCUCGCGCGAUUGGAGCAGCCGAUGUUAGAUUAGGUAGUUGGUGGGGUAAAGGCUCACCAAGCCGACGAUCUAUAGCUGGUCUGAGAGGACGACCAGCCACACUGGAACUGAGACACGGUCCAGACUCC